This 468-nucleotide ribosomal RNA is filed under the name uncultured bacterium. Its description in RNAcentral is "partial 16S ribosomal RNA". It matches the Rfam family "Bacterial small subunit ribosomal RNA", at positions 28 to 507 of the family's 1533-position model. The record is from RNAcentral.
GACGAACGCUGGCGGCGUGCUUAACACAUGCAAGUCGAACGGAAAGGCCCUGCUUUUGUGGGGUGCUCGAGUGGCGAACGGGUGAGUAACACGUGAGUAACCUGCCCUUGACUUUGGGAUAACUUCAGGAAACUGGGGCUAAUACCGGAUAGGAGCUCCUGCUGCAUGGUGGGGGUUGGAAAGUUUCGGCGGUUGGGGAUGGACUCGCGGCGUAUCAGCUUGUUGGUGGGGUAGUGGCUUACCAAGGCUUUGACGGGUAGCCGGCCUGAGAGGGUGACAGGCCACAUUGGGACUGAGAUGCGGCCCAGACUCCUACGGGAGGCAGCAGUGGAGAAUAUUGCACAAUGGGCGGAAGCCUGAUGCAGCAACGCCGCGUGCGGGAUGACGGCCUGCGGGUUGUAAACCGCUUUCGCCUGUGACGAAGCGUGAGUGACGGUAAUGGGUAAAGAAGCACCGGCUAACUACGUG